RNAcentral lists this long non-coding RNA (818 nucleotides) under Salmo salar (Atlantic salmon). RNAcentral describes it as "lncRNA (ENSSSAG00000085037.1)". Lineage: Eukaryota; Metazoa; Chordata; Actinopteri; Salmoniformes; Salmonidae. The record is from RNAcentral.
UGAGGUGUGUUCCACAUAUUAGAGUUUUAUUUGUCUUGGGUUUCGUUACAUCAAACCGUUAAGGCAGAGGACAAACCGGUCAGUCAAACCGUUAAGGCAGAGGACAAACCGGUCAGUCAAACCGUUAAGGCAGAGAAGGGAAACAGUCAGUCAAACCCGUUAAGGCAGAGGACAAACCGGUCAGUCAAACCGUUAAGGCAGAGGACAAACCGGUCAGUCAAACCGUUAAGGCAGAGGACAAACCGGUCAGUCAAACCGUUAAGGCAGAGGACAAACCGGUCAGUCAAACCGUUAAGACAGAGAACAAACCGGUCAGUCAAACCGUUAAGGCAGAGGACAAACCGGUCAGUCAAACCGUUAAGGCAGAGGACAAACCGGUCAGUCAAACCGUUAAGGCAGAGAAGGGAAACAGUCAGUUUUGCAGGUCAGCGGUCAAGUUUUCAAGAUAAAGGAUGAUGAUGUGGUAGAUUGACAUCUCUUCUUGAAUUUCCUUCAUCUUGACAAGCCGACCUGCGACACAUUCUGGGAUUGUAACAACAGUGGACUCACGGAAAAAAAAAAAGCAGAAUAGUUUGAGUUGGGUUUUUUUUUUUGUUCUUCCCUACAAAACGUUGAGAAAAGGAGAUGGGAAGUUUAUUCAACAGGGUGCAACAGCAGAGGGGGAAAAAGGCAAUCCAGCAGUGAGAACCAUCGGACCCCCGGUCUUCUAAAGUUCCUCCAGACCAGGCAUGGGGAACCUCCCCGAAAGCUUCCACCUCGCCCCUCAGCUCUGCUACCCGUUCCUGGUGCUUCGCCUCCCCUGCAAGGGCCUCCUUAAA